UGUCGUGAGGCAAAAUCUGAAAGAAGCUGUAAGCAAACCUCUGGUCUGACGGACAGAAAUCACAUAUAAGGCUAGGUUCUGAUAGAUAAGCUUGCAAAAUAAAGCAAAAUCUAAUAACUAUCACUUUUGUAGGAACAGAGUAAAUGUGGCAGAUAUAUGGAGGGAAAGAGU
RNAcentral lists this non-coding RNA (171 nucleotides) under uncultured Anaerostipes sp. The record is from RNAcentral. Lineage: Bacteria; Bacillati; Bacillota; Clostridia; Lachnospirales; Lachnospiraceae.